This 253-nucleotide ribosomal RNA is filed under the name uncultured bacterium. RNAcentral's name for it is "partial 16S ribosomal RNA". It matches the Rfam family "Bacterial small subunit ribosomal RNA", at positions 524 to 776 of the family's 1533-position model. The record is from RNAcentral.
GACGGAGGGUGCUAGCGUUGUUCGGAAUCACUGGGCGUAAAGGGCGCGUAGGCGGCGCCGCAAGUCGGCUGUGAAAGCCCGGGGCCCAACCCCGGAGGUGCAGCCGAGACUGUGGUGCUGGAGGCCGGAAGAGGAGGGUGGAAUACCCAGUGUAGAGGUGAAAUUCGUAGAUAUUGGGUGGAACACCGGUGGCGAAAGCGGCUCUCUGGUCCGGUCCUGACGCUGAGGCGCGAAAGCGUGGGGAGCAAACAGG